RNAcentral lists this transfer RNA (87 nucleotides) under Asparagus officinalis (garden asparagus). RNAcentral's name for it is "tRNA A4U43_Tyr316". It matches the Rfam family "tRNA". From Rfam's summary of the family: Transfer RNA (tRNA) molecules are approximately 80 nucleotides in length. Lineage: Eukaryota; Viridiplantae; Streptophyta; Magnoliopsida; Asparagales; Asparagaceae. The record is from Rfam by way of RNAcentral.
CCGACCUUAGCUCAGUUGGUAGAGCGGAGGACUGUAGUUUGUCGCAGAUAAAUCCUUAGGUCGCUGGUUCGAAUCCGGCAGGUCGGA